RNAcentral lists this ribosomal RNA (400 nucleotides) under uncultured bacterium. Its description in RNAcentral is "bacterial SSU rRNA". It matches the Rfam family "Bacterial small subunit ribosomal RNA", at positions 125 to 524 of the family's 1533-position model. The record is from RNAcentral.
CCUGCCUUUAUCAGGGGGAUAGCCUUUCGAAAGGAAGAUUAAUACCCCAUAAUAUAAGAAACGGCAUCGUUUUUUAUUGAAAACUCCGGUGGAUAGAGAUGGGCACGCGCAAGAUUAGAUAGUUGGUAGGGUAACGGCCUACCAAGUCAGUGAUCUUUAGGGGGCCUGAGAGGGUGAUCCCCCACACUGGUACUGAGACACGGACCAGACUCCUACGGGAGGCAGCAGUGAGGAAUAUUGGACAAUGGGUGAGAGCCUGAUCCAGCCAUCCCGCGUGAAGGACGACGGCCCUAUGGGUUGUAAACUUCUUUUGUAUAGGGAUAAACCUUUCCACGUGUGGAAAGCUGAAGGUACUAUACGAAUAAGCACCGGCUAACUCCGUGCCAGCAGCCGCGGUAAU